Molecule: ribosomal RNA, 253 nt
Filed under: uncultured bacterium
Lineage: Bacteria
Description: partial 16S ribosomal RNA
Rfam family: Bacterial small subunit ribosomal RNA
Source: RNAcentral
UACGGAGGGUGCAAGCGUUAUCCGGAUUCACUGGGUUUAAAGGGUGCGUAGGUGGGCAGGUAAGUCAGUGGUGAAAUCUCCGGGCUUAACCCGGAAACUGCCAUUGAUACUAUCAGUCUUGAAUACCGUGGAGGUAAGCGGAAUAUGUCAUGUAGCGGUGGAAUGCUUAGAUAUGACAUAGAACACCAAUUGCGAAGGCAGCUUACUACCCGAAUAUUGACACUGAGGCACGAAAGCGUGGGGAUCAAACAGG